RNAcentral lists this transfer RNA (67 nucleotides) under Loxodonta africana (African savanna elephant). It matches the Rfam family "tRNA". Rfam says of the family: Transfer RNA (tRNA) molecules are approximately 80 nucleotides in length. Their secondary structure includes four short double-helical elements and three loops (D, anti-codon, and T loops). Further hydrogen bonds mediate the characteristic L-shaped molecular structure. tRNAs have two regions of fundamental functional importance: the anti-codon, which is responsible for specific mRNA codon recognition, and the 3' end, to which the tRNAs corresponding amino acid is attached (by aminoacyl-tRNA synthetases). tRNAs cope with the degeneracy of the genetic code in two manners: having more than one tRNA (with a specific anti-codon) for a particular amino acid; and 'wobble' base-pairing, i.e. permitting non-standard base-pairing at the 3rd anti-codon position. The record is from Rfam by way of RNAcentral. Lineage: Eukaryota; Metazoa; Chordata; Mammalia; Proboscidea; Elephantidae.
GGUGACGUAGUGGUUAAACAUUUGGCUGCUAACCAAAAGGUUGGUGGUUCAAACCCACCAGUGGCUC